CCAAUAGCGUAUAUUAAAGUUGUUGCAGUUAAAAAGCUCGUAGUUGAAUUUUGGAUUCUGCCAGUUGGUCCAUCUUUUGAUGAGUACUGAUUGUGUGGGGUCUAUCCGCCUGGUAAUACGUAAUGUACUUUAUUGUAUGUUAUGGGUAGCCAGGACCUUUACCUUGAAAAAAUUAGAUUGUUUAAAGCAGGCUUAUGCCGGAAUACAUUAGCAUGGAGUAAUAGAAUAGGACUAUGUUGUUUUAUUUUGUUGGUUUCUAGGACAACCGUAAUGAUUAAUAGGGAUAGUUGGGGGCAUUAGUAUUCAAUUGUCAGAGGUGAAAUUCGUGGAUUUAUUGAAGACUAACUACUGCGAAAGCAUUUGCCAAGGAUGUUCUCAUUAAUCAAGAACGAAAGUUAGGGGAUCGAAGACGAUGAGAUACCGUCGUAGUCUUAACCAUAAACUAUGCCGACUAGGGAUCGGGCGAUGUUGUUUCCAUGACUCGCUCGGCACCUUAUG
RNAcentral lists this ribosomal RNA (498 nucleotides) under uncultured Glomeromycotina. RNAcentral describes it as "partial small subunit ribosomal RNA". It matches the Rfam family "Eukaryotic small subunit ribosomal RNA", at positions 591 to 1092 of the family's 1831-position model. The record is from RNAcentral. Lineage: Eukaryota; Fungi; Glomeromycota.